UUCCAGUAUAAGGGUACAUUUAUUUUCCAAAUAAAAAGAUUUAAGUAGAAUAAGAGGAA
This 59-nucleotide transfer RNA is filed under the name Streptosyllis sp. THS1. RNAcentral's name for it is "tRNA-Gly". Lineage: Eukaryota; Metazoa; Annelida; Polychaeta; Phyllodocida; Syllidae. The record is from RNAcentral.